GACCACGCAACCUUGCCGCUCCUGAUCGGCGUGCAUCUUGUCGUUCUCUCAAUACUCGCGGAGGCCAAUUCGUUGAGGUUGAAAAUUAGGGUUCAGGGAUGGACGCGGCUGCAGAGACGGGGAGCCACCCCUCGUCGGCGGCAGCGUUUGUGGAAGGGGGUGUGCAGGAUGCCUGCGAUGACGCCUGCAGUAUAUGUCUUGAGGAGUUCUGCGAGAGCGAUCCUUCCACGGUGACUACUUGCAAACAUGAGUUUCAUCUCCAGUGUAUUCUUGAAUGGUGCCAGAGAAGCUCGCAAUGCCCCAUGUGUUGGCAACCCAUCAGCUUGAAGGAUUCCACGAGCCAAGAACUACUUGAGGC
This 358-nucleotide unclassified non-coding RNA is filed under the name Hevea brasiliensis (rubber tree). The record is from RNAcentral. Lineage: Eukaryota; Viridiplantae; Streptophyta; Magnoliopsida; Malpighiales; Euphorbiaceae.